This 490-nucleotide unclassified non-coding RNA is filed under the name Hevea brasiliensis (rubber tree). Lineage: Eukaryota; Viridiplantae; Streptophyta; Magnoliopsida; Malpighiales; Euphorbiaceae. The record is from RNAcentral.
AGAGAGCCCCAUAUGCAGUGGCUGCAGCCUGCCUCACUGAAUAUGACUUGUCAGAAAGAAGCUGAGAGAAACCCUGAAAGAGGAAAGAAGCAGAGUGAGCAACGAGGAGCGAGUUAGGAGGAAAGAUAAUCGCACGGUGGAGGGAAUUAAUGGCGGCCAGUCGAGCCGAGUCGUCAUCAUCAGAGUUGGUUGUUUUAGUAGUAGCGGCGGCAACUGUUAAGGCGGUGGCGGUGGAGGCCGUUGCUGAAGAAGAGGAUGAGGAAGCGGAGUCGUCGGUGGGGAGAGCAACGGAAAGGAGUGCAGCGAGUUGCUGUCGUUGAUGGUGGAGUCCUUGCAUCAUCGGCGCUGCUGUUUCUAUGUCUGUGGAUUUGCAUCUCUGUUCAAUUCUCUACACGACAUCCGACCUUUCUUGCUUCUAUUUGCUGCUUCAGCCUACACAUGCUCUGUUUUGUUGCCGGAAAACGAUAUUUGAAGAAACUUGUUUGUAUAA